This 277-nucleotide non-coding RNA is filed under the name Clostridium sp. RNAcentral's name for it is "T-box sequence". It matches the Rfam family "T-box leader". Rfam says of the family: Uncharged tRNA acts as the effector for transcription antitermination of genes in the T-box leader family. Lineage: Bacteria; Bacillati; Bacillota; Clostridia; Eubacteriales; Clostridiaceae. The record is from RNAcentral.
UGUAAACCGAUGAAUAAGGAGAGUACCUUUGAUGAGAACAUCUGCAGAGAGCCGUGUUUGGUGUGAUACGGUGAUGGGACGCAAGGGGAAUGGGCUUAGGAGGGCGACCGAAAGCGCAGUGUUUUGCGCGUGAGUAGCAGUCGACGGGAACCGUCACCGUUAUCCGGCGGGCUUAUAUCACGCAUUGGUUGGUAUUGGCAGACAGAGAGAGGAUGUGCUUCUUGCGCAUCAAUUUGGGUGGUACCGCGAGCGCCGGACAGGCGCAUUCGUCCCAGAA